UACGUAGGGGGCUAGCGUUGUCCGGAUUUAUUGGGCGUAAAGAGCGUGUAGGCGGCCAGGUAGGUCUGCUGUGAAAACUCGAGGCUUAACCUCGAGAUGUCGGUGGAAACCGUCUGGCUAGAGUCCGGAAGAGGAGAGUGGAAUUCCUGGUGUAGCGGUGAAAUGCGCAGAUAUCAGGAAGAACACCCGUGGCUAAGGCGGCUCUCUAGUACGGUACUGACGCUGAGACGCGAAAGCGUGGGGAGCGAACAGG
This 253-nucleotide ribosomal RNA is filed under the name uncultured bacterium. Its description in RNAcentral is "partial 16S ribosomal RNA". It matches the Rfam family "Bacterial small subunit ribosomal RNA", at positions 524 to 776 of the family's 1533-position model. The record is from RNAcentral.